RNAcentral lists this unclassified non-coding RNA (334 nucleotides) under soil metagenome. RNAcentral describes it as "partial contains 5.8S ribosomal RNA, internal transcribed spacer 2, and large subunit ribosomal RNA". The stretch from base 1 to 120 matches the Rfam family "5.8S ribosomal RNA", at positions 35 to 154 of the family's 154-position model. The record is from RNAcentral.
GAUGAAGAACGCAGCGAAAUGCGAUAAGUAAUGUGAAUUGCAGAAUUUAGUGAAUCAUCGAAUCUUUGAACGCACAUUGCGCCCGCCAGUAUUCUGGCGGGCAUGCCUGUUCGAGCGUCAUUUCAACCAUCAAGCCCCCGGCUUGUGUUGGGGACCUGCGGCUGCCGCAGGCCCUGAAAUGCAGUGGCGGGCUCGCUGUCACUCCGAGCGUAGUAGUUACAUCUCGCUCUGGGCGUGCUGCGGGUUCCGGCCGUUAAAAGCCUUAUUUACCCAAGGUUGACCUCGGAUCAGGUAGGAAGACCCGCUGAACUUAAGCAUAUCAAUAAGCGGAGGA